Molecule: long non-coding RNA, 22753 nt
Filed under: Citrus sinensis (sweet orange)
Lineage: Eukaryota; Viridiplantae; Streptophyta; Magnoliopsida; Sapindales; Rutaceae
Description: long non-coding RNA (CSIN_LNC002323)
Source: RNAcentral
ACUGCUGCUGCUGCUCUCGUGUCCGUCCUCGUGCUUCUUCUUCUUCUCCUUCUUUUUCUUCUUCUCUUCACCGUGGGCGGCGCCCUCGCCGCCGCCGACACCGGGGAUCUUCUGCUUGAUCUUGUCCACCAAGCCCUCCUUGUGUUCGCCCUCCUUGUGUUCCCCGCCGUGAUGCUGCUGCUGAUGGUGAACAUCAGUAGUGCCGACACCGGGGAUCUGCUGCUUGAUCUUGUCCACCAAGCCCUCCUUGUGUUCGCCGCCGUGAUACUGCUGCUGAUGGUGGACAUCAGUAGUGUGGUGGUCCCCACUAUGGUGCUCUCCCUUGUGCUUGUCCUCCUCCUUUUGCCCUCCUCCCAUGUGAAGGGCUUCUCCGAUCUUGUGAAUAACUCCUGACAUUUUCCCUUAAAAUGACUCUGUUCCUCUUCUUUUCUUUUCAAUGAAAAAUAGUUGUUUGCGAUCUUCUUCUGGUUGUUGUUGUUCUUGUUGGGUGAUCUUGGCUUGGUAUUUAUAGGCUCCAAAAGGAGGGACUAGAAUUAGGAUUAGAUUAUAGAUUAUUUUAAUACAUUUUAUGGCAAAUUCUGAUUUGGAAAGAUAAGAUUAUCCUUUUGGUUUUCCUUAUUUACCCUUUUGCACCCAUUACGUGUACGCGUCUUCGUGGGCUUUUUGGGUAUUUCAAUUAUAUCGCCAAUGCUAAAUCGACACGUUGCAUAUCAGCCGCGGUACUGCCGUAUGUAGUUGUCCAGAAAUCGAGUCGAUUCUCGAUCGUACAAUAAUUAAAUAAUAUUUCAUACGAAAUGAGUUUAGAUAUAUUUUGAAAAUUUAUUUUUAAUUUAAUUAUACGUGUUAUAUAUUUGUUAAUCGAAUAGAGGUCCCACGUAACAGAGUGUUUCUCUAAUCUUUCAUUGCUUUUAAUUAAUUUUACCCAAAUAAAAAAAAAAAGGAAAAUUUAGAGAGAGAGAGAGAGAUAGCGAAUUAGAAGUUGAUUGUAAUAUCGACACCUGUCAGACAAUCAAAUAUCGUUAGUUAAAAAUCAGUUGUCCAUAGUCAUGGUCAUAGAUGGCGAAAUUGAUACUUAUUUUAAAAAACAAAACAAAACAAAACGAAACGAAACUAAACUAACAGAUGUUGAAAUGCAGUUCCGUGUUAACAGUCUGUGAUGAAUCUUUAUCUUUGAGUAUACCAUUCAAGAAAUUAUCAUUCAAAAAUUUAUUUAAAGCAGCAGCAAAUCACCUUCUAAUUCCUGAAUCAAAUUAAUUCGAUUUUUUUCGAGUCGAUCAAUUCAUUAGAGAAUUAACGGGCUAAGUUAAAGUUUUGUUAGUUAUUUUUUUUUAUAUUCCUUUAGAUGAUAUGAUUGUCAUUGUCUUUCUUUCUCUGGGCAACAAUAAAUACAAGAUGUGCAAAAGCGUAGUGGAACAUAAUUCGAUUAUGGGUAAAGGGAUCAGUCCGCAUAAUGAGGAUAAAGUUUUUCUCUUUAAAAAAAUUUAACCCAAAGAAAAGGUCGUAGUUUGUAAUAGCCGACACGCAGAUAGAUCACAAAGCAUGGCGGUCCUGAUGGCAAUAACUAACUGAUAUCUUCUGCGAUGAGAGGAGAUCACGUGGUUCUGACACGUAUCGCCCCAUCAACUGAUGUUGUGGCUGCAAUCGCGGCCCAGUCUUUAGAGAGAAGAAAGAUCUGUUAUAACGGGACCUACUUUAGCAUCUAUUUACGACAAAGCCCCUAUUUACUCUACUUAGUAGUAAUAAUAGCAAGUGUCGGGCUUGGAUUCCGUGUUGCUUUAAAUAAAUAUCCGCGUAAAAAGAAAAUGCUUCUUUAAUCCCUUCCUUGUAAUUUUUCGACACGUGGAUGGUUGAAAUUAGCGUGCCGACAUCUUAGGAAUUUUAUCUUGGAGACGGGAACACUGCAGUAGGCAAUGCCAUUUUCUUCGGAUGGUGUGUGGUGACAACGCCUUGGAUUUUGACGUGCAAAGAAUUUAAAUUGAAAAAGAAAAAAAGAAAUUACCAGAAUAAGCAUAGAAGAGAUAUUUUUCUUUUUGUCCUUUUUGGAAUGGAAAAAGAGAUCAAGAGAUUGUUCCAGUAAGUAUUACACAUGUCACAGGCUUAUUCAUGCCCCAUUAUGGCAACUUUUAUGCCUCGCGGUGCCCUCGGUUCCAGCAUAAUAGCUAAGACUUCAAUUUUUCUAACAUAUUUUUGUUACAAAUAUGAACGGAGUAAAUGUAUAACUUUAAUCCUUUGAAUAAAGAAAUGGCGGUUCUCCUGCUCGUUAAUCUCACUUGAAUCCCACCCAGGCAAAAUUUCUUUAUUUUAUUUAACAACAAUUUAAAGAAAGAAACUUUUGCCAGGUUGAAUUUCAAGUGAGAUUCAUUCGUGGGAGAAGUGCCAUUUCUUUAUUCAAAAGAUUAUGGUAAUUACAACUUUCAAUUUCGACAUAAAUUAAAAUUAUAGGCUAUACAAUAAAAUUGCCCUAAAUUAGUCCUAAUCAAUUCAGAUUAUAAAUUUAGGUAUAUUUAUUAUUUUAAUAUAUUAAUGUUCUAUAUAUAUAUAUAUAUAUAUAUAUAUAUGUGUGUGUGUGUGUGUAUNNNNNNNNNNNNNNNNNNNNNNNNNNNNNNNNNNNNNNNNNNNNNNNNNNNNNNNNNNNNNNNNNNNNNNNNNNNNNNNNNNNNNNNNNNNNNNNNNNNNNNNNNNNNACAGCAGAAAAUAUUUGCUAUGGAUAAGGAGACAUGGUCCCACGUCCCACCGUCCCAAUGCAUAUUUUGUAUGUUUCCAUCUUUUCUGAAAUUUUAAUAAAUAAAGUUUUUUGACCACUUGGCCAAAGAACCUUACCCUUACACAACUUUGUGGUUGGAGUCCUGUGAUACAUGUAAGAACUUAUUUUUUUUCUUAAUUAUAAUAUUUUAGAAUAUAAUUAAGUGAAGUAGGUUUUUUUUUUAAAUAUGAGUAAAAUAGAUAUUUUUUAAAUAUUAAAGAGAGUAAAAUUUGAAUAAUAAUAUAUUAAAAUUAAUACAAACUAAUUUUAAUAAUUAUUUAAUUAUAAAUAUCAAUUAUAACAUCAUAUAAUAUCAAUUAUAAUAUCGUACAUCUCAAUUAAUUCAAUAAUAAUAAUAAUAAAUGUUUUUUGGGAUAAGUAAACAGUCGCAUGGCGACAAUAGUGGAUCUGGAUUAGAGUGAAGUGGUCCCAAGAGGCUGAGGCUGUGGCUGUGGAGUUCUAAAAGUCAAAAGCUCCACGCACUUUGUUUCAGUACCAUACACACUGAAAAAAUUUGCAUUUGCAAUGACGAAAACUUUUCACGAAAUCAAAACACCUCUAAACUAUUUUGUUAUCGAUAUUUAAUGGAGGGGUUUCCUACCUUUUUAACACUCGAUUCACGCCUUGACGCAUCUCACAGAAAACCUCAUGAUCCCAUUAAUCUUGCGUAACAUAUCUCAAAGCCAAUGCAAGUGAUCUUGUUGCCUACUUCCCUUUGACGAUUCAAAAUUGUUGAAAAUAAUUCUUUUUUUUUUUAACCUCAAGGAAGUGACAAAAUAUAAAAGAAUAUUUUCUACACAUUAAACAUCUAGAUUUUUUUUUCUUUUCUUUUUAGAGUACUUGCACAAACCGUUUCCAAGAGAGACCUUUUUUUUUUUUUUUUUUUUCCGGGCUUGGUUACUAAUUUGGUGUGAAUACUCUAUGGUGAAAAAGGAAUCACAAAGCUGUAAUCAAUUUUUUUGCAUCAUUUAGUUGUAACUUGAACAUUGGGAGGUUUAUAAAGAAUUAAAUUAAUUAUAAUGCCUCUACUAGGAAAAGUUCAGAGUAGCCCUUCACAACUUUUUAAAGGCUUAAUAAUUUUCGCUUUCUUCCUCUCAUAACAUAACAAAAAAUUAAGAGCUUUACUCGUACACGUCCUAUGGCUAUAUAGUAUUGGGUUCUCUACUUCAAUCGGCUAUCUCAAACCGAAGGUUAUUUGGACACACCAGCAGUCACGUUUGGAAACUCUCAAAUGCUUGGAUUGUAAUUCUUGUGGAUGAGAUCAUCUAAAUCUUGGGCCCAAGCCGGACAAUGGGUGGACAAAGAACCCUAAAAUACAGUAAAGCUUCUAACACCCCACUAAAACUCUUAAGAAAUCCUACCUUUUAUUUUUAUAUCUCUUUCUUUUAGAAAUUAUAGAGAAGACAUAGCAUUUUAAUUAUUUUCCCUGCCAUUGAAAAUAAAUUCUGUAAACAUAUUUUUUCAUAAUAAAAUUAUUGUUAUUAGAUAAUUUAUUUCUUCAUUGUUUCAAAAUUAUUAUAAUUUUAUCAACAAAAUUAGUUAUGUCAUAUAUUAGGAUUAAAAUUAAUUAGGAUCCAUAACUUGUAAAGACAUUUUAGUUUAAUUGAAUUCAUAUUUGUCAUUUUAUGUAAUUUUCAAUAAAAAUACGACUAUGAGUGCAAAAGUGGGAUGACAUAAUAUUAAAAGAGUGUGAAAUAAUCGGUAAUUGAAAUGGAUUGAAAUCAUAAUAGAGUAUGAAAAUCAGAAUAAAUUGUUUACUUUAGUUGUAGAAAUCAAAAUUAAAAUAAACCAUAUUAUCAUUGAUGUAUAUAUGUUUUCUUGUAAUCGAAAUGAAUUCUUAUAAGUUACUAUAAGACCCUUAUGGUGUGUUUACUAAUCAGAAAUCAGAAUGGAGUGGAAUUUGAAUAUAGAAUGGUAGGGGUAUUCGCGGAUCGGAUUUUACGGAUUGGACAUUAAUUCAUAUCCGAUCCAUAAUUUUACGGAUUAUAAAUUCUCAACACAAUCCAAAUCCAAUCUAUAUGUUUGCAGAUCGGAUGCGGAUUUGACUCAAUUCAUAUCCAAUCCACUAUUUGACGGAUUGAUUUUGGAAUUAAAAAUUUUUAAUUUUGUCCAAUCUAUGAGGUAAUUAAAUUUAAAAAUCUAAUAUAAAAAUAAUUUAUUAAAUAAAAAAUUAACGUAAAAAUAAUUUUACUACCAAUUAAAUUCAAAAUUGAACAAGAUUUAAAUAAAUUAAUUAUUUAAAUAAAACUAGAAUAAUUUAUUUAAAAUUUUUAAAUAUAACAUAUCGAAAAAAAAUUCAUUUGUUUAGAUUAAUAUAUGAAAAUUAACUAAAAUUAUGAAUUUAAAUGUUGAAAUUUGAGAGCUUGGAUGUAACAGGAAGAAAUUAAGAAACUUGAAGAACUUGAAAAGAAAGUAACAAAUUAAGCUUAACUACCUCUAAUGGUGAAGUGAAACAGUGAUGGUUUGUGCGUGCAAUGGGGUACAAAUUUGGCAUUAUAUGCCAAAAUAUUUUGUUUGGCUUUAGAAUUUUUAAUGUUUAGGAAGCUAUAUUUGUUUAUUUAAUUACUCAAAUAUUUAAUUAUUUUUUAUUUUAUGUUAUUAUUGAAUAAGAUAUAAUAUUGUGUUAAUUUAGCUAUACUUUAAUUAAUUAAUUAAUUUAUUAGUAAGUAGCAUUGCUACAUUUAUAAGUUUUAUUUUUUAUUAAAUAAAUACUUUUUUUUUUCAGAUUCACGAAUUUUUACGGAUUUACAGAAAUAAAUCCAUAUCUAAUCCAUCGACUGUGGUUUUUUAAAUUUUCAUUCCAAUCCGAUCUACCAAUCCACAAAUUAUAUUUUUACGGAUCGGACGAAUUGAGCGGAUCAAAUUGGGUUCUGAACACCCCUAGAGAAUGAGAAUCAAAAUAAAUUAUUUACUUUAGUUGUGUGAAUCGGAAUUGGAAUAAAUUGUACUGUCAUUGAUGUGUUUACUUUAUCUUGGAAUCAGAAUGAAUAAUUUCAAAUUACUAAACUGACCUUAAUUUUUUAUUGUAAUAAUAAUAGUAGUAGUAGUAGUAAUAGUAGUAAUUUUCUAUUAUUAUUAUUAUUUUCUCUCUCUUUUGUUUUUAUUUUUUUAUUUUUCUCUUCUUCUUCUCUUCCUCUUUUUUUAUUUUUCUCUAAUUCAUCGAUACUUCUUCUUCUUCUUUUUUCUUUCGUUUUUAUUUUUAAUUUUUCCCUUCUUUAUCGUUCCUUCUUCUCCGUCCAUUCUCUAUCUUCAAACUCUUUUUACUUUUUCUCUUAUUCUUCAUUACUUCUUCUCCCUUUUUUUUUUUUUUCUCUUCUUUAUUAAUUCUUCUUCUUCUGCGUCUAUUCUUCAUCUUCAAAUUAUCAAGUGAAAAAUACCCACGGUGCCUUACAAGAAGAAUUGGUUUUGUUUGCUUCAAUUAUUUUUUGUAUUUUGUACUUUUGAUUGUUUCAAAAGAGGAUAAACUUGUAAUAAUGCAAUUUAAGUAGGGAUGUUUUAGACAAUUUUGGGUAUGAGAGUCUAAUUCCCAACCCCCCACUCCCUCGUAGCAGACUCCCAUUCUUCAUUCCUAACUUGGUGUUGGACCUACUAAAAUAAAUCCCAUUCCCCUUCUUAUUUCAAGAAGCAAACACGAUUUUGAUUUCAAUUCCCCAAUCCGAAAGUAAACGCACAAAAAUUGUACCCAUAUGAGAUUGCUUAUCCUCGAGUUUUUAGAUUGAAAAAAAAAAAGGAAAAAAGAAUGGCCCCAUUAGGAAGGGAUUUUAAGUGUUAGAUAAAGCCGGUGUUAACCAUUAGAAGGUCUCCGACCUUCAACUGUAAUAUAUUAAACCCAGAUAAAUUUACAUAUAAAUCACACAAACCAACAUGCCAAUCAAAUAAAUUACAUCAACUAACAACAAUUGACACAUUAAUUUUCAUAAUACAGAGGAUGCAGAAAAUUAAAAUGUUUUAUCUUUUCUCCUUAUUUGUGAAUUGGAAAAUGAAAAUGUUAAACAUACAGAAGAGUGAAACAGGAUGGAUAUAUAUACACACACACACACACACAGCUUUGGAGUUCAAUGUCAUCGUAUUGCUCCAAGAAGAUUGGCGCCAUCAAGCUUUGCACCUUCCAGAUGCUGUUUAAUCAUCACCAUAACACCUUCAGUAGACAUUAAUACAUAAUAGAAACACAAAAUUCACAUGAUCUGAAUGUCUGGUCUAUUUUACUUACCGUAUCUCGAAGAUUUACGUGCCGUAAAUAAGCUCUUUGAAGGUUGGCACCCUUUAAAUUGGCAUUACGUAGCUUUGCACCCUGCCGCAUAAAUGUUCGAAGUUUCAACAAAUUAAAGUCUCCUGAGAAAUACAUGUCACGAAAAAGUAGGGCUGAAACUUGCAUCUAAUGUACAAGAUUCAAUCAGGGGUGCUUGUCCCACAGUGAAAGUGUAUGGGGGAAAGUGCACUUUCACAAACCAAAGGGGCAAGAUGUGAUUAUCACACGAUUACAAAAGGACUGUAGUCAAGAGAGAGAACUGAACAUGCAGCUUGUAUUGAGGCCAUGAAAAUUGAUGAAAAGCAGUAACAAGCAACCAUUUUGAAAACACUUCAUAUGGUCGAAUCAAUAAAUCAAAGCUAAAAUGAUGUUGACGAUCGAUAGCUUUUAGGUGAUAAGAGUCUUGGCACUACAGUUAAAAUUAUUAUCUAGGAGUGCACACAUUAAUAAAAAAAAACACAACCAAUAAGCAUGCACUCUUAAUCAGCAUAUAAAUUAACAAGUUAGUUGCACCUUAUGUUGUUCCACAAACAGAUUGCUCGAACAAUUCACAAUCUUACCUUCAAAUUAGCUCCUUCCAAAUUAGCUCCCUCUAGGUUGGCAUUAGUAAGAUCAGCAGUCUGAAAAGUCAAGAGGACAAACAGAUUGCAAUUUGAUUAAAAUCUCAAAGUAGCAACAUUCUGCAUGAAAGAAGAGCAGCACAAUUGGCAACAUACAUUUUAGAUUAAGAGGAUGGGAUAAAAGCAAAAUUACAAGGACAUGAAGCAAAUGAGCCAUGUUUAGUAUGGCAAUUUUGACCCAAUAAUUGUGGCAGGUCUUGGAGAUAACAUAGGCAUACACAUAAGGCAGAAGCAAAUACUGUCGCAAACUCCUAGCUAACUACAAAUGUUCCAUAUAGAAAAAAACACCUGCAAAAGUAAGGGAAAAAGCAACAGAUAAAGAACUCAAGAUGCUAGACCUGUAAGUGUGCAGAUCGCAGGUCUGCUCCACAGAAGCUGCAGUCUAUCAAGCAAGCAUCUGCAAUGAUUUAAGAUAAAUUUGAAUCCAAAUGACAUUUUACCGCAAGUAGUUCCAGCCAUUUUGGGAACAAACAAGAAAUGCUAUUUUGUAUUCAUUGUAAUUCCUUAAGCUAAAUAACAAUCAUGUGCUAUCUUAACCAAGGUACAGUUGCAAAUUCUGAAAUUGUGAUGCCAUAGGUUGUUCUUAAUCUUUUUGAACUGAAUAUUGAAAAAAUAUUCCUUCAAUCAUAAAUGUUAAAUAAUUAAAAGAACUGUGAGGGGGGNNNNNNNNNNNNNNNNNNNNNNNNNNNNNNNNNNNNNNNNNNNNNNNNNNNNNNNNNNNNNNNNNNNNNNNNNNNNNNNNNNNNNNNNNNNNNNNNNNNNNNNNNNNNNNNNNNGGGGGGGGGGGGGGGGGAAUGAAUAAGCGGAUGCAUACAGAAAAUUAUGGAAAAUCUGUUAUGGAAAUAAUAUGAAAAUGGGUAUGCAUAACUACAUACUGAAUCUUGACUAAUUUCAAUUUAAUUCAGAUAAGAAAUUCCAGUAUGGGAAUUGCCUUGUAAAUUUGCACUCUGAAGAUUUGCACCAGCUAGUAAAGCUCCACGAAGGUUUGCCCCAGCAAAUUCACAUCUUCCCUAGGCAAGAUAAAACCCUUAAAAGGCAAUUUUGAAAAAUACAUAUAAUUGGGAGAAUAUCCAGUAUUGCUUUGACUCUCUUACUCACGCAAAGUUGCAUUGUGAAAAAUGGAACCCUCAGCAUCCACAUCCUGUAUCAAGAACAGACAGAUUCAGUAUGAUUAAUAUAACUGGUUGCUGGAAGACAGGACAAAAUCGCAUCUUGUCACUGUCAACUUGCAUGUUAAGAAUUAAACACGAAAACUGCAUGCUGUCCAAUUAUAAGAAACCUAUAAAAUUCAAAUCAACAUCAAUACUGGCUUAAGGAAGAUAUAAAAAUAAAAAUUAUACCAACCCGAAAUUUCGCAGAUUGAAGAUUUGCACGUGAGAAGAAAACAUUUCUAAGACACGCAUAGCUGAAGUCCACAAGUGAAAGAUCCUGGCCAUUUUAAUAAGAUAGCAUCAGAGGAAACAAUAUCUAAUGAAUAUAUAAUGUUCUUUCUUGCUUAUCUGAGAAUACUAAUGAGAUUAUCAAAAAAACUCUAAGCUACUGCUAAGAAGUCUUGUGUUACAUGAGUAUGAAUUGAGGAGGUAAAGAAGACCCUUCUCCAAUAAGUUACCAUAGAAGCCACAUAAAACCCUAAAGCAGUUACAAACUUACAAUGACCAGAAUAAACCACCCCAACUAUCUAUUGGCAAGUAAAAUCACUUCUCUGGAUUUCUGAAAACUAGCAAAACAAAUGCAUAAAUUGGCAAAUUCGAUGAUUUCCUCUGAAAACCAAAUUAUAGCAGACAUAAAACUUGGAAGUAUUCAUAGAAUAAAAAUCUUUCAAGCACCUCAAUUCAGUAAUUAUUACCAGCUUAGAAAGAUCAAGGCCAGAAAGAUUAAGUCCUCGAAAUCUGACUUUUUCAGACUGUAUACACUUGAUGAUAUCAAUGCGUGUUAGCUCAGUAUCUAACUCAUUAUCUUCCUUUCUCUUAUUUAUGACAGCAUGGAUUCUCUCAAUUAGUCCCUGAAAUGAAACACAUUAGAUGCAAACUAUUAUUUGAAAAAAGAAAUACAUUUUAUCCACUAACACACAUGGAUUUCAACAGCAAUCAUACAAUAAUUGAGGAAGGACGGUCAUAUCAGACUCAUCUGCCAAGAUUCAAUAAGCACAUCAAACUUGUUUACAUGUAAUUUCCACAUUCCACGUGAAUUUAUAAGGUCUGCCUAAGCAAACCAAAGAAGGCUACACUCAGUACUGUGUGUAUACUGCCUUACCUUUGCUGUUCCCCAGAUACCGUCCUGCAAUCCAGAUACUUAGCUGUGAAGUUUCAAGCCAGCGAAACCAUUUUAAAAGUACACAUGGACACAGAUACCAUUAUCUGAAUCAUCUUCGAUAACAAAUUAAAAUGCCCUAGCGUUCAAAAAACUUAGGAUCUCUUUAAGUGAAGUUCCUUUAAAAAAGUAGAAAAAAACUGAACAACAAUGUCAUGCUAAUAAAAGGUAAAAAAAAUAAAAUAAAAUAAAGCAUAAGGACAGAAGUUCACCAGGAGCAUGCCAGUAUAAACCAAAACGACCACAAAUCUCAACCAUAAAAUUUAAAGUAGUAAAGUAAAUAAUCAAGGGCAUGCAGUUGGCACAGGUGCUUCCAAAUAAAAUGAUGAUUCUUUUCAAACAGAAAAAAGAAAUGGAUGUUAAUAAACUAGAAGAAACCAUGUCUUACAAGUAAUUGAUAAUAUUCUGCUUCCCGUAGAAGCUCUAAAAACUCUGACUCUGUUAAUGUGGGGACAGCCCCAUCCCUUAACCAAUUCAGAAUAUGCCGAAAAUGUUUUCCGUCCCUAUCAACAAAGAUAUAGCCCUGCAAUAAUUCAAUAUGCUCAAAGAUAAGAAUCUGAAUAAUAUACCCAAGAGAAGUGCUUUUCCCUGGAAUAAUAAAAAGAAAAUAAGUCAAAACGUUUUUCUUAAUGGAAGAACACAAAGGAACAGCUCUAUGACUAACAUGAAAACCAUAAAUCAGAAUAAGAACCCAAAACUGGUCAUUUGGAGUUUCACCAGAUCAAAAAGAUCACAUGGAAAUAAAAUUGUGAAAAUGGGAUUAUUUAUGCCGAGGUCAUGGCUAAACUGCAAUCAUUACUCCAUUUUUGGUAGAAGGAGAAGAAGAAAGAAGAGUAGGUGAGUCAUCAUUCUUUCAGGUGAGUCAUCAUUCUUUCUCUGUGAUUAAUUGAUAUGAUGGAAGUGUUGUAGAUAUUAAUUUGAUAGUGAUUCCUCCCUUCAAAAGAAUUCAUUCCUUUUUUUAUUAUUUCACAAAGUUUAACUAAGACUGAGUUUUCUCAAUUUGAAGGCAUCGUGCACUCUACCCCUUUCUUUUCCUCACAUUGCUUCUUCCCAAUCCCAAAGGGAAGAAAUCAAGAAACAAUUACAAUUUUUAACUAUUCACCAGCAAAAACAAGGCAAAGAAAGAUGCUGAGUGUAAGCAAAAAUAAGAGAGUUAUACACCUCAGAGUCUUGGCACACAGUAUGGCGACCGCUGAACAUAGCUGCAAGCAUAGAUUCAGGCUCACGACGAGUCAGAGUAUCAAUUGUUGUAUAAAAUUUCUUUCCCCCUGGAUAUUAAUACAUAAAAUAUAAAUUUGUUCACUUAAAAGCAUGAAUUGUGCAAAUUUGUCAAUAAUGUCAUUCUUUCACAAACGUUCACCGAAAUGUAUAACAAUAAGUGCAUCAUAACAUAACUAAACGGCUUAAGAACUGCGCAGAUAUUACAUACAGUAGAGAAACAAGAAAUAGAAAAUGAGAUUUGCCCUUUUUAAACAGAAAGCAAUCAAAGAGUAAACUAAAGAGCUAAUAAUUCACAAAAUUCAGUUGAUUAAACUCAUUUACAAGUAAUUAGCAACAAAAUCCAAGCUAAAUAAAAAUAAUGAAAAUUAGGUUCUUAUAACAUCCGUCAAUUCUAUGAAAGUUUACCACGAUCAGCAACAAAUAGAUAAAUCGCAAUAAAGAAAAACCGACGACAUGUCGGUUGUGUAGUGCAUAAGUAAAGGAAUUUGCAGAUGAUGUAAAGAGAAUGAGGGAUAGUAACUGACCGAUGUUGAGACGAACCAUUGAAGACGAAUCGGAGUCCUUCGCCAUUGUCGAGUGUAAUGACUUGUCGUCUUACUUGCGCUCAUAGGUAUUUAUAUCAUAGCUGACACUGUUCGAAGGACAGCAAGGAUUUGGUGGGCACAAAUGCAUUUUGGAAAUUGGGCUUCGGCCCAAGAAAUCGAAAAUCAGAGGCUUUUUUUUAAAAAAAAUUUAAAAGGAUUAGAAUGUCUAUAAAUUAAUAGGGCUGAGACCAUCUUAAAUCUAUUAAGUAAAAGAGAUAUUAAAUAUUUUAUUAAUUAAUAAUUUAUUAAUUUACAGAAUUAUUUAUAAUUCAAUUAACAUACAUUUAAUAACUAAACAUUCAAUGUACAUAAUUUCUGAUUACAAUUCAAAGCACUAACAAUACUUCAUAAUUUCUUAUUACAAUUCAAGAAUUCAACCUCAUAGCUUUUAGAUGCAAUAAGAAAAAUAAGAAAUAAGAUUCAGUUAUAUUUAAAUUUUAAGAAAAAAACAAUAAAAUCAUAUUUUAUGUAAUUAAAAUAUCAUAGUCAACUACAUUUGUAAUUUCAACAAAUUAUUACUCUAUGAUUUAAAUGAGACCACAAAGUUAUAUAAGAUUUUAUCGAAAUUAUUAAUUUAAUCCAUUAGUCCAUGUCAAGACCUUGAAAAUUUAAUAAUUAUAUAAUAGAGAUUAUUAAUUUAUCGAGUAUUAAUUUAUAGAAGUUCUGAUUGUAUAUUAUUUUAUAUUAAUAAAGAAUAAAGUAGCAUUCUUUUUUAAUUCCGAAGUAAUAAAAUUAUGGCUAAAUUAAGAGAGUAGAUAUAUUUUAUAACUUGGUUUAAUAACAUCACGCGCCUCCCUUGUAGUUUUGCAGCUUUGAAGCUUUAUAAUGAAUCCUAUUAGCUUUGGCUGGAAAGUUAUAUUGUUAAAGAGAGUUUAUAUAUUAAACAAGGUGAUCUAAUAUUUCCAAAACUAAAUUUGGGAUCAAAAAUAGAAAACAUUUGCAUGUUUUUACCUUUUGGAAGAAUUACUUGAUAAGUGCUUCACAGAAAAAUGCUUGCUAUUAUAGAGCACCCUAAAAAAAAUCCUUAAUAAUUGAGGGAUCAUAAUAAAGUUCAAUUCUAAAUCUGUCAGAUAGAUCGAAAGUAACAAACCAUAUAUAUUUAAAUCUAUUUAGUAAUCCAGGGUUACAAGCCAAGCGUGCAAUAGCCAAUUCUGAAAAUCAAAGCUCAGCCUAUGCUCUCUGAGCACAAAUAAGAUCUGAUAUAUACAUAUCGAAUCCUCCAUUAUGUGGAGUGAAAUUUCCAUCGUGUACGGUGUACCUAACAAUGAGAAAGCAUGGCAGCAUAAAUUCAUCUUCCAUGUUAUUCUACUUAUUAGUACUGGUUCCCUCAUAACUUCUCCAAAUCGGGGAGGUCUGCAAUGUGUAAAGCACGUAAUCAGAUAAAAGAAAGAGAGCCAAAAAAAAAAAAAAAGGUAACAGCCAAAAGAUUAAAUUUCUUUGAGAAAUAGAAAAUGGGAGCUUUUGGCAUAGGCACAGAAUAGAAAGUAACAGAGUCAUUUACAGUUGUUCAGAAUAUGCAAGCUGAAAACAACUUUGAAUGCAAUGGACAAUUCCUCCAACAAACAAUCGAAUUGGAUUGUGGAAGAGACAAAAGCUUAAUGAGGUUAUGGUUUUGGCUAGGUGAACUCAAAAUUCUUUUAUAGACCAAGUAGGUAAAAACAAAUCCCAUAUAGAUGGAUGAACCUCAUACCAUGAACAGUUAAUCGCGAACACUUGCAGGCUUAUGCACACGACUAUGAAGAUACUAAGGGUUUCACCGAUGGUAAGUGAAAAAUAUAUGAUGUAUAAUUUAAAUGGAAGCACAUAGUUUCGGAUUGAAUUCAAGGUUAAAGUUCCACAGACAGACAGAAGAGAUGAAGCUUAAAAACUUACAGAGCAUUCCUUCAUCAUCACUGCUUUCAUCAUUUUGGCCAACAUGCUGAAAAAAGAAUAUGAUUCAAGUUAAAUGAUUGAGCAACAAUAAAAAACGUGCAAAAUUAAUGCUCUCUCCACAAAAAUUUCAGUCUAUAUUGGUAAGAAGAAACAGGAAGAAAAAAUUACCUCAGCAUCAUCGUCAUUGGAAGCCAAAUCAGCUGUAAAGACCACAAAAUGUUUGGUUAGAACCAGUGGAAGUCUUACUCUAAAAUUUUUAAUUUUUGAAUUUCGAAAGAUCUCGUAAUGACAAAGAUUUUCAUAUCCAGUGACCAAGUUUUGAAAAUUAGAAUACGGAAUGACAUCAACUAAAUUCACUAAUAUAAGCUAGAGGAAUCCCUAGUAGAUAUAGCGCACAUGCACACAUGAUAUGCAUCCGAAUACACAAUAAUAAAUUAUCUCAAAGUCAAUAAGAAGCCAAAAUUAGAGAUAAACUUUUAGCCACUAUAAGGAAGACUGAUAUUUGCAGUGUGAUUACAAUAAACAAACAGAAACUUCACUACCCAUAAGUAAAACAAAAUAAAUAAAGGAUAAUAACUAACCAAGAAAUGGAAAAGCUCACAUUCUCUGAACACGCACCCCAAAAAGAAAGAAAGAAAUAAAUGUUCUCAUUGGAUCUGAAGCACAAGCAAUCCACUGACAUCCUUCUAUAAUUAGGUAAUUUAAAGGGGUUAAGCUCACAUCUUUUACGGAAGUAAGAAGAGAAUUAACAACCUUCCAGAGGAUUUAGGGAAAUACCACGAGGCAAGAAAAAAGAAAUAUCCUUCUUCAAUCUAGAUAUCCUGAUACUGCUCACCAUCUACAACAGUCUGUGGCUUAAAAAGCAGGUCACUGAUCUCUCCCUCCCUCUGGCACCAUUUUCUCUCAUGUCUCAUUUUUCCCUUCCUGCCAACUCCCACUACAGUAUUGAAACCUAUUCUAUCAACUCUUCCCCCUCCAAUAACAAGACCAAAACCAAUUUUACUCGCCGGUUAGCUAGGUAGUAAAUGGAAAUUUGUGAAUCUGUCAUUCAUCCGUAGAAACAAACCAGAACUGCAUAAAUUCUCUUCUCUCCCAACAGCUUCUUUUCUCCAGAAAUAGGCACAAGUAUUUGACAUGGAAACAGUUUAUCUAACAUGGCCACCUUUAAAGACAAAGACAUACUAAGGACGUGGUUUUAGAUACGGAUACAAGAAACAAUCACAAAAUGUAAAAUCUAUACAUAUGAUAUUAAUUUCCAAUGGAUACAGCAAUUCAUUCUUUGACAUAACUUCAUCAGAUUACUAGGUUUGAUUAGGUUAUACACACAUUUAUUCAUUUAUUGAAUCUACAUGCACUUAGAAUGAGAGGUACCUAUAAAAACAAGUUACCAGAAAACAAUACAGCUAGAAAACAUUAAUCUAAGUAGUUCUAUAGGUUUAACUAACUGCAGGAAAAAACCAUUGAUUUUGUCCGCCAGAUUAUCGAGAUCCUAAUUCUGGUAAAAAGAAAAUGAGAUAAUAGAAAAUCAAAAAUUAAAUAGACACAAAAUGAGAAAUCAAGAUCAUAUGGCAACUAAUAUAUAGCAUGGGCUGCAGCUAACAAGCAAUAUAAGCCAUGAUAUUAUGCCAGAUACAAAUUUUGAGAUCCAAGAGAGAUCAAGAAGCAUGAAUACCACUAAAAUAUCGAAAGAAGUGAGUGCAGAAGGAUAAGAAAUCAGGUUGAUAUUCUUCAUACUUUGGAUCAACACGUAGUGAUGCAAUAAACUUGUAAUUAGCUUCAAAUGUAUAGGCUACCAUGUCAACAUUUCCGAAAACACACAAGAUUGUGCUGGAUUCAUACAUAGUACAUAUAUAAAAAAACAAUCUGCUUCUAAACUUCAUGAGAACAUCGAAUAAUGAACUUACAAUUUGAUCCCUCAUCAUCUUCAUCGCACCAUUUGUUCCAAUCAACCUUAAUGUAAGGUGCUGGUUUCUCUUCUGACUUGAGUAGCCUUUUCCACCAACCUUUCUCUUCUUUUUGGACCGAGCAUAUUAUGUUCCUUAAGCCAACUUUAGUCUUACAUUUCUGCACCACCAGCAACAAAACUCAAAGCAUUACAAAAGAGGUAUAUUUAGCCGCUCUUGACUCGAGUGAGAGAACAGGAUAAAUAGCCUAGGUAUAUCCACAUCCAUGUUAUGAGAUUGAUUAUGCAACAGCUAACUUUAAUAUAAAGCUUUUGCUUCAACAAAGACUAAAAUGUUUGUAAUUGUUAUGCUUUUGGAGCUAAAAUGUUUGGCAAACACCCACUUUUACUCUGCACCUAAUAUCUACCACCCACCCACACACUAAGUCUCUCGUUUGGUACAGCUAUUUAUCAGUAGUGGCUUUAAGCCACAACAUUUAAAGCGAAUUUACCCUAAAAUUUUACAAUGAAAAACCUAUACUACCUUUAACAUUGUUGUCAAAAUUAUUAUUAUAAGUAAUAUUUACCAAACACUAUCAACUUCCAAUUCAUAUCAAAGAGCUUUCACUCCACAAUAGCCGUGUCUUCUUAAGCCAGAACAACACAAUACCAAAGGCCUUAAGCUAGUGAUUUGAUUUCACAACAACUGCAGAUCAAGCCUCAAUCCCAAACAUACAUAAAUCAAAUGCAGAAAGCAAAAAUUUAACAAUAUGUUUGGUAUACUAAAUGUCUUUCAUAGUUUCAUUUCACAGGGUAUUUAGACAUGCAAUGAUAAAUUGGAGCAAUUUCAAGAACCGAAUUGACCUCAGGUAAAAUUUUGCCAAAAAGUUCCAAGCUGAAGUCGUAAAGCUCGCCUUGGACUCCGACGGCCGAGAAGCCAAAAAUCCCCUGAGGCUCGCAUUUCACAGAAAUGUCUUUCGCAUCGGGUAAUGAAAUGGUAAGGUAUACUUUAUCGGAGCGCUGAGCCCAAAGAACCUCCGGAUGGCGACUGAACAUAAAAGAAAUAAUAAUAAUAAUAAUAUUAUUAUUUUUUAUUGUGACAAUUUUGAACUAAUAAUUAGAGACAUUUAACAACAAUAUUGAUUAAUAUUGGAGAAGAAAAAUAAGGUUACAAGAGAGAAUCAGAAAGAUUACCUCAUUCUGGUGGAUGAUUGAAAACGGUGGGUCGAUUGAUGAACAGAAGUGUAACUGUCUGGGAGUGAGAGUGACUCUGCUGUUUACUGGGUAGAGUGUGCUUACUCGAAGAAAUUGAAAGUGAUAAUCUCGGGCAAGCCAACACGUCGAUUUGGUCAACAGUGGUCCAACAAACCAGGAACUAGGUUUUUUUUUUUAAAUGAUUUUUUUUUUCAGUAUUAUAUUGCCCCGCCCGUGGGCUAUUACAUUUUGGCCCUUUUGGGGACCCCUCGUUCUCUUACAAGAAGGGAAUAUUCUUUUCCAUCCACCGGUUUGUAGGCAGAGUACAUAUACUCUUCGAAAUUAAGGACAAAUUUCUGAAUCGUGCCGCAUUAGAAUUAAAUUGAGUCUCAAAAGAAUUUUGGUUAUAAGUAUAUCGUUCAAACGGUAAUAUAUUAAAAAAAAUAAUAUUUACUACAAUGUAGACCUAUCGGGACUUUGAAGCCCAGACCAAUUCUUGAGUCUAGCCUAAUAACACCUCAACAGAUCAAAAUUGAAAUCCAACUUAAAUUUCAAUAUUGUGUAGGGAUCUGCCUUAAUUUAGAUAUGUCAAGACCUGCCUUAGGCAUCAAAGUGAUCUAUCUUAACAUAACUAAGACUUUCUUUAAACAUCACAAUGAUUUAUCUUAACGUAGUCAAAUCUAGCCUAAAAAAAUCUAAAGAAGGAAAAAAGAAAUUAUUUUCACGUAUUGAGAGACUUAAAUUCUUAACCUUAUUCAUAAGAAAAAAAAGUGUAUUACUUAACUAAAUCGUGACUAAAAAUUAUAAUUAUUAUUUUUUGUACAUUUAGCUUUAAAAAAUCAUUAUAUAUAUAUAUUCAUAUAAGUUUUGACAUAAUAUACAUACCACUUAUUUGUUUUUUAAAUUAUACGAGAAUGAAAAAACUCAAGCAUUAAACACCAACUUUUGUUUCAUGCUAUCAAUCAACUUGAGAAAUUUUAUAAUAUAUCGGAAGUUCUACGUCACAAUUUAAUACGAAGCCUUCGAUUAAUAAUAAUUAGACACAUGACAAUAGAUGCUAGAGAAAUUUUAAAUUCCCUCUUUUCAUUAUCCCUCCAAAUUUAGAAUUUCAAAAAAUUAGAGAAUAAAUGUUGCUUGCUCUCUUUGUUAUCUAAUUCUAAUUAUUAUUUUUUUCUCUCUCUCUCCAAUCAAGUUGCUAGCAUUUUUUAAAUCUAUUGAAGAAUAAGAAGAAGGUUUUUGUCGAUGAAAUGAUUUUGGCAGCCUUUUUUACCCAAAGCUAACAUGAUUGCUGCGACUACCAAUGAAGAAAAAGAUGUGUUUUGCUGGCGAAGAAGAUGAUUUUUGAAGCAUGAGUGGCUGCCGUUUAUUUUUUUCCUUCAUAUUUUUCGAUGUAGUGGCUGUCCUCAAGUUUUAUUCAUUUACUUUUCAGUUGGCCUACUAUUUAUUGGCAUAAUGAAAAAUUUUAUUUUAAUAAGCAUUUAUAGAUUAAUUUGAGGAGGUUUCUUUUGCAAUAUUAGUGUGGUUUCUGCAUUGGUAUGAUUUAAAUUACGAACUUGCUACAAUCUUUAAUUAAACUGUCAAAAGUAAUUUAAAAAAUCUUUAAUUAAACCGUCAAAAGUAAUUUAAAAACUGACAGUAGAUAGAUUAGAGAUAGGCUUGACAAUUUAGCCCGACUCUAUUUUUAGUCUGAUUGAUCCGAUCCUAAUUUUUAAGACUUUGGCCUGAAUUUUUUGAUUUCGGGUCGGGUUCGGGUCAAAAUUUUAAGGCCCGAACAAAUUUAGGGUCAGGGUCGGACUUAAAACCAACCCGACCCGACCCUAUUUAAAAAAAAAAAAACUAACACACGCACACAACACAUGACAGUUCACUCUCUCUAAAUCGUAAAUCACACACACAAAAUACACUUACACAAAUUCACAAAAACCCUAAGCCAGCCACCCAGCCUGCUGCCGUCCUAUCAGCCAACAUCGUGACCGUCCGCCGCACGCCAGCCAAUCAGCCGUCGUCUCGUCGUCGCAUGUCUCACCAAUCAGCCAUCGUGACCGUCUGCGACGCUGCGACAUGAACUUGAACCAGCCGCCCUUUGUCGCCGUCCUGCCGCAUCCGCCUGCCAGCCAACGAUCAAUGCACACAGUUGAAUUGUGGGGUGGGAAAUGGUUUCGAUAGGGUCGGGCUCGACCCGACCCUAACUAUAAAGAGGUAGGGCUUUUUUAGGGUCGGGUUUUAAUUUUUUGUUGAUCGGGUCGGGUCGGGUUUGGCCAAACCCGAGCCCGACCCGACGUUUUGCCAUCCCUAAUUAGAGAUGAAGAUUGGAGAGAGAGAAAAAUAUAAUUUGAAUGAGAUAAUAAAGAGAGAAGAAAUUCUAUAAUACAUCAUAAGUAAUAUAACUCAUUGAUGUAUGCAUGAUAUAUGUAAUUAACCUUAAUAUAACUAACACUUGUAUGGUGAUAUUUCAAAAUAAAUAUACAUAUGUUAUAAAAUCAUUUACUUAUUGUAUGACUGACAUUUUAUUUUUGAUGUAUUGUACAAUUUCUCAGAAGAGAGUAGUAUUUAUUAUCUCUAAUUUUUUGAAAUUCUAAAUUUUGGAAGGAUAAUAGAAAGAGAAAUUUUAAAAAUUUUUCAACGUAUAAUGCCAUGUAUCUAAUUAUUAUUAGUCGGUGUUCCACGUUAAAACGUAAUAUAGAACCUCUGGACCUUACUGUAUAAUGUACUGUAGAAUUUCCUGAUCACACACUUUCUCAGUUGCAAAAGAGGUGGGCAUAUGAGUUCCUUACGGGGAUUUAGUGUGAAUCCACGCAAAGCCCAUAUAGAUUUUUCCGGUUAACCGCUAUGGCAUCCUAGUUUUAAACUCAGUACUAAAUUUACAGAUCCAUUUAAACCCCCCAAAUCAGUCUCUCACCGUCUCAAGUCUCAAACAAAAAACCUGACCGGAACCCAAACCGCCAAAUCCGAUUCGAUGGUGGACUGUGCUAAAACCCCUAAAAUUCCAAGACUGACAUGCGGUAAAGGAGAUGGUGAUAGACUUAGCAAUCUUCCGGAGCACAUCAUUUAUCACAUAUUCUCGUUCAUGGAAACAGUUGAUGUUGUUAGAGCAAGCACUGUUUCGCGAAGAUGGAGGUACUUGUGGCUUUCCGUUCCUUAUUUGAACUUCGACUAUCACACAAUUUGGUCAGACCCGGAAAGUAGAUGGUCUCGUAGGAAAAUCAAUGAUAAGUUCAAAGAUUUUGUCAACUGGGUAAUAUUUUCUCAAAAUGGGUCUGUUAAUAUUCAAAGAUUUCGUCUUUGCUGCUGGGAUUAUUUAGCAAGUUACGAUAACGAUAGAACGAUUUACAGAUGGGUUUCUGCUAUGGCACGUCGAAACGUGCAAGUGCUUGAUCUGGCUAUAGCUUCACUAUACCCAUUUGAGUUUGACUUGCCACAUAGUCUUGUAACUUGUGAUUCAUUGGUGGAACUGAAGUUGAGUUUGAGCUUUCAUGUUCACCGAUGUUUUUUAAAGCUGCCUACUGCUGCUGGUUUUAUUGGGCUCAAGUCUCUUGAUUUACAAAGUGUUGCGUUGGAUGAUAAUUUGUUUCCUGAAUUUAUUUCAAAUCUUCCCCUGCUUGAGAAUUUGUGUAUGUUGUCAUGUGUUUUUCCUGAAUUGAAGGUUCUUGACAUUUCUUCCACUAAUUUGAAGAAUUUGGCUCUGGAAUCCAUUGUUGGCAAUGAUAAUGCUGGCAAUGAUGAUGCUGGCAAUGAUGAUGCUGGCAACUACAAGCUUAAGAUUGCUUGUCCAAAUCUUGUGUCUUUUAAUUAUAUAGCUUUAGCUCCAUGGUUACCUCACUUUGCUUUUGAGAGCUUAAACUCCUUGCAAAAUGCAUUCAUUGACCUGGAUGAUUAUAACGAGGAUGACAUGGAGAACGAAAGAUGUCAUGUUUUAUCUACAAUCUUCAAUGACUUUCGUGAAGUUAAAGUUUUGAAAUUAUCAGAAGCCAUUCUUCUCGAGGUAUGAUUUCAAAUACAUUCAUUGCACCAAAUCAUGAUUCUGCCAGAACUUGUCUACACUUUUUUAUUUUGACAUUAGAAAUGAAGCUUAAGUAAACUGAAUCUACUUUCUUUGUUUGGUAAAAUAAGAAUUCUAUUGAUUAUGGAACCUUCCUAAAUGCUAAUUUGUUCUUUAGACUGUGUAUAAGUCAUUGUGACAUUGUAUGAAGUCUCAUUUAUCUGAGUAAUCAAUUGUUAUUGAUGUCAAAGACUAGAACUCAUUGGUGACUUGAGUUUAUGUAUAUUAUCGUUUGUUAGAUUUUUUGUGUGAUUAUUGCACUUAACUUGACUAAUGUAUUCUCUUUCUUUUUGCCAUUGUUCCUCCAGGUUCUUGAUCCUGAUCCUGCUCACGAAGAACCAGCAUUUUUUUCCACUUCAUUCAAUAAUUUGAAGUCCUUAAUACUUUCUGCAGGUCCGGGUGUAUGUCUCAUGCCAUCAAUGCUUAGGUUGCUCAACUGCUCUCCAAAUCUAGAAGCUCUUGCAAUAUAUUCUCCUAAGGUAAUCUUAACACCAAAAACUAUUCCAUUUGUUAGAUACCGUCGCUUCUAUCCAUUUUUUUUAAAAAUCAUAUCUCCCAUUUAUGUGCUAAAAUUUUAAUUUUGUUAAAGUGCAACUGGGCUUUGCUUAAAUUAUCGCAAUAGAGUUGAAACCUGAAAGUAUUUGUGAUAUAUUAUGUUUACCGCUUAGAGCUUAAAGUAAAUGUUAAUCUUGUGGCCUCUUGGUUGUUCCCAUGCUAUUGCUUGUUGAGCAGAUGGUUGAAUUUAGAGUCAAUCAAUCGGUUGUGUUCUUCUGAGGUUUGUGCAAGUUUUGUAAAAGAGCAAAGUUUAGUAUUUGUUUAGUUUGUGAAAAUGAUAUAGCUUUUUCUAAUUCAUCUUACUCUAUUCUUUGCUUAAAAAUGAAUUCUCCUUUUGAUUUGAUUCCUUGACUGCAUUUCGGUCUGUUUUCUCUUGGCAGCAUCGGCGUGGAUAUAAUGCUUAUAGGAAAACACCGAACAAGGCUGCUAUUUCAUGUUUGACAAAUCAUCUCAAGACAGUUGAAAUAAAACAUUUUAGCGGUGAUAUGAAUCAACUUGAAAUUGUGAGGUUUCUUCUAAGGAAUGGACAUGUAUUGCAGAGAAUGAGUAUUAGAUGGGUGGCAGAUGUUAAGAAUCAAGGGAAGAUUAUCUCAAGGAUAAUGAAGUUUCGGAGAUCAUCUUCAAGUGUUGUGCUGAAAUUCCUAGAUCCUAAGCCAGCUGAUGAUUUUUCAGAUUAUUUAUUUGAUGAUGAGCAAAAGAACUAAAAUUAUGUUUAAAUUAAAAAAAAAAAAAGUGGUUUAAGUGUAUGUUCGAAUUAAAUAGUCUUUUGGAUUUGUAGAAACUGAAAGGAGUACAGUGCCAGUCACUGUGGCAGCCUUAUGUUUUGUUUGAAAAAAUUCGGAAGCUUCUAAAUUGUUAUAUACCUCAAUUCUGAAGUCGUUAGUAUGUAUAUUAUAAGCAAUACAUAUGUUCCAUUUGUCAUAUUUUAUUUUGGCAUUACGAUUGUUUUGUCUUGAUUAAUAUUGAUUAUAAUUUGUUUAACAUUUAUCUGGCAUAUGUAGAAUUAUACUUUAUCUGAGUAGAUGACGCUGCUGCGUACAUCUUCAGGACUCGGUCAUAAACUGUUUAUCUCUGCGUCUGUCUAGCAUCCAUCCACGUAUGACCUGUCGGCUUUUUGCCCGCAAGCAUACAGUUAGGGGUGGUAAAAAUAUCUGUCCGGUCUGGAUUCGGUUCGCACCCGGAUGUUUUAUCCGGCCCGGUCUUGGGCAUCAUUUGAUAAAUUCGGAACCCGAGUUUUAUUAAGCGCCUUGGCCGUACAGCAGUAUAUUAUUUUAAAUAUUUAUAUUUAUUUGACUCAUUUAUUACAUAUAUAUAAAGUUUUAGACACUUAAAGUUUAUAUUUUCAUGUCAAAUUUCAUUAAAAUAAAUUUAAAACUUAUAAAAUUACCAAAAAAUAAAAAAUAUAUACAUAUAUAAUAUUAAAAAAUAUAAAAUCUGGGUACCCAAAUUAAAACCCGGCACAAUCCGACCCAGGCAUCUAUGCA